Molecule: ribosomal RNA, 421 nt
Filed under: uncultured archaeon
Lineage: Archaea
Description: partial 16S ribosomal RNA
Rfam family: Archaeal small subunit ribosomal RNA
Source: RNAcentral
CUACGGGUUGCUCCAGUCGAGAAUCUUCUGCAAUGCACGAGAGUGUGACAGAGCGAGCCAGAGUGCUUUUCAAAUGAAAAGCUUUUGUGAAAUUUAAAAGAUCUCACGAAUAAGGACUGGGUAAGACGAGUGCCAGCCGCCGCGGUAAUACUCGCGGUUCAAGUCGCAGCCAUUUUUAUUGGGUCUAAAACAUCCGUAGCUUGCUUAAACAAUUUCUUGUGAAAUUCUAUAUCUUAAGUAUGGGGCGUGCAGGAAAUACUAUUAAGCUAGAGACUGGAAGACGUAACAAGUACGUUUGAAGUAGUGGUAAAAUACUUUAAUCUUAAACGGACUAACAAUAGCGAAGGCAUGUUACGAGUACAGUUCUGACAGUGAGGGAUGAAGGCUAGGGGCGCAAAACGGAUUAGAUACCCUGGUAGUC